RNAcentral lists this transfer RNA (67 nucleotides) under Amegilla calceifera. Its description in RNAcentral is "tRNA-Pro". Lineage: Eukaryota; Metazoa; Arthropoda; Insecta; Hymenoptera; Apidae. The record is from RNAcentral.
CAGAAAAUAGUUUAAUUAUAAAACAUUAAUUCUGGGAAUUAAAAAUAUGAAAAAUUCAUUCUUCUGA